Molecule: small nuclear RNA, 344 nt
Filed under: Vulpes vulpes (red fox)
Lineage: Eukaryota; Metazoa; Chordata; Mammalia; Carnivora; Canidae
Description: 7SK RNA (ENSVVUG00000022688.1)
Rfam family: 7SK RNA
About the family: 7SK was discovered as an abundant small nuclear RNA in the mid-70s but a possible function has only recently been suggested. Two independent studies have found that 7SK RNA binds the CDK9/cyclin T complex (known as elongation factor P-TEFb).
Source: Rfam by way of RNAcentral
AAAUCUACACUACAUUGUUAUCUGUCACCCCAAUGAUCGCCAGGGUUGGUUUGACUGAUCUGGCUGGCUAGGCAGGUGUCCCCUUCCUACCUCACUGCUCCAUGUAAGUCCCUCCUGAAGCUGCGCGCUUGGUGGAAGAGGACAACCAUCCUCCAUAGAGGAGGACCGUUCUUCGGUCAAGGGUAUACGAAUAGCUGCACUCCCCUGUUAGAACCUCCAAACAAGCUCUCAAAAUCUACACUACACAAAGCAAUCUACACAUUUAAUGCAAUCUAUAUCAAAAUACCACCAACAUUUUUUUUUAGAGAGCUGGAACAAUUCUAACAGGGUUGUUGUUUUUUUUU